UAGGGAAUCUUCGGCAAUGGACGAAAGUCUGACCGAGCAACGCCGCGUGAGUGAAGAAGGUUUUCGGAUCGUAAAACUCUGUUGUUAGAGAAGAACAAGGACGUUAGUAACUGAACGUCCCCUGACGGUAUCUAACCAGAAAGCCACGGCUAACUACGUGCCAGCAGCCGCGGUAAUACGUAGGUGGCAAGCGUUGUCCGAAUUUAUUGGGCGUAAAGCGAGCGCAGGCGGGUUCUUAAGUCUGAUGUGAAAGCCCCCGGCUCAACCGGGGAGGGUCAUUGGAAACUGGGAGACUUGAGUGCAGAAGAGGAGAGUGGAAUUCCAUGUGUAGCGGUGAAAUGCGUAGAUAUAUGGAGGAACACCAGUGGCGAAGGCGGCUCUCUGGUCUGUAACUGACGCUGAGGCUCGAAAGCGUGGGGAGCAAACAGG
RNAcentral lists this ribosomal RNA (429 nucleotides) under Gemmatimonadota bacterium. Its description in RNAcentral is "Gemmatimonadetes bacterium partial 16S ribosomal RNA". It matches the Rfam family "Bacterial small subunit ribosomal RNA", at positions 355 to 776 of the family's 1533-position model. The record is from RNAcentral. Lineage: Bacteria; Pseudomonadati; Gemmatimonadota.